UACACGUCUCUCGUAAUCAUCAUGAAAAUGUUCCUUCCUAUUUUCACGGCAAUUUGAGGCCAUUCGGUUUCGGCCGUAACCGUGCACGGGUGCCCCACAUCAUGUCCGGACUUUACUUUUUACACCGAAAAAUAAGUGACGUCCCAAUUUAAAGGAAACGGUUCCUUAAACCCUGAACUGCCCGUUCGGGGUCAAAACAGCUCAUAUUAUAGUUUUCUUUUUUUUCGAGCCGCGCUGCCGGAUUAUGGCAGUUAUUUCCUUGAAAUGUCCCGGCGCUCAUUGUCCACGGCUUAAUCACAUACUCGAGUAAAUUGUUACUCAGUCGAGCCGACCGCAAUCACGGGCAGACCGCAUAUUUUAGCGUUUAAGGUAAAUACAACUGACAAUCAACGUAAGGCCGAGUUUACCUUCUUCUUUCUGCUGCUAAAGAAAUUAGGUUCCCGUCAAUGUUUGUCUUGCUUUCAAUAACAAGUGCACGGUUAUCCCUGGUUAUAAUUCAACGACCGGCUUCGUCGUACUUCGAGCAAAUCUUCGGCAGAAUCCGCAAGGCGAUUGCAGGGUCAAUUUUGAUCCAGACUAUUUAACUCGUUCAAUUGCUCGAUUAUCGGCAAUCGAAUAAAACAAAUUGCUGGAACAACAAAAAGGCUAAUAACAUGCUCGCCGAACGAAGCUCAGAAUUUUUAUAAACAUCGUCGAUAAAUAGAGCUGCGCGAGAGUUAAACUGUGUAGAACGCGCUCUAUUGUUACCGAGCAAACGAAAGAACCUAUCUGCCACGAGCCGAGACGAUUUGAUCUGAAAUUCAUCGCGUAAUAUCAAGGUAAUAUCUUGAUUAACCCCGCGACAUCAGAACCGCAAUGGUCUUAAUUAAACGCAAGUCAUUCGAAUUCUCUUCCUGGGAUACACCGGCGAGGGCAUACGCCUGUUCCGCGUUUAUCACGGUGCCUACUGUGGCGUUGCCUUCGAUAUGAAACAAGGUGACCAACACGCGUGGAAAGCAGACUUCAAUUCGAAUAACGGUGUAAAGAAACGCUCUGAUGCCCACCUAAGAUAUUCGUUAUGCGUACCAUACAGGUUGCCCAUCGUACGGUCAGCCAGACGGGUAAUAGUGGUAUAGGUCAUGGUUAUUUCCUCAAGACGAAACGCGGUCUAAUUGGAGUCGAAAACUAUGGAAGGAUAUUUUGUGCUGUUGUUGCCAAAGGAUGAAUUUGUAAAACAACGAGAGAUUUGUAAAGGAACAACAAGAAUUUGUGAAACAAUAUUACUGAAAUUAUUUAGUUUAUGAAAAUGUUCAUAAAAAUUGCGUGCGCUGCAAUGAAUAAGUUCGAAGUCAGUUUCGUUUCCACGAAAGAAAAAGGAAUUAGGAUGCUUUCGUGGUCGCGAUAAACAACAAGAAACAAUAAGAAUUUGUCAAACAAUUUUAGUUAAACUAUUUAGCUUAUAAAAAUGUUCAUAAAAGCUGCGUGCGCUGCAAUGAAUAAGUUCGAAGUCAGUUUCGUUUCCACGAAAGAAAAAGGAAUUAGGAUGCUUUCGUGCUCGCGAUAAUUAAAUAAUACAGUCCGCGGCAUUAAUCAUGAUUCGGCCGUUCAUUUCGAAUAAAAUGCCGAACCAUAGGACUGCCAUGGUUCCGAACGAAUCUUUAUCGAAACGCUUUUUCGAUCGACUAGGCAACACUGAUUGGUUCGGUGCACGAGGAGGCCGGCGGAACGAGGAAAUUCAAUUGGAGCAGCGAAUAGUAAUGGAAAUAAUUAUGCCCGCGAUAAUAAUGGAAAAUUCGAUCAAGUAAAAGCGAACACGUAUCGGAACACCAUUUAACAUUUAUUACGUAUCGUGUAUUAUUUAAACGAACUGCUACGUGAUAUUGUGUUAGUAGAAUAGCAUCAAAGUAGUUCGUAUCGCCUUUUAAAAGAUUAUUAGAGACACGUUAAUACAUUCGUGUGUCUCGACUCACUGUCAUCGAGCUAUUUUUCAUGGGACAAUAAACAACAGUUUCGUUGACAUCCGAUCGAUAUAGCAAUUAUUUUUAUAAUUGAUAAAAGUAGCUCGACGAAUGCGACAACAGUUUCGAAACGGUAUAGUGACGAAUAAAUUAUGUUAAAAUUAGACACGGAAAUGCUAAUUGGUCAGUUAUUUCGCAGACCGCUCGUUAGCAUUUUCACGAAAAUAAAAAUCGUGUUGAGGAUAGAUCGAUUAUGCAAUAAAUAGGUUUCCGAGGUGACAUAAAACAGGCAACGCAGGCAGCACGAUUACUUCGGAAAACGCGAUUUGCGUCGAGCGUAGCGAUAAGGGUAGCAAAUAGUGUCGUUAAAAUGUUCGACGGGCAUUCAGGAUAAAAAAACACAGGAUUGCACGAGAUCUCUCGUGGAUCUUUCCGCACGCAGGUCGGAACGCGCAAACGUCGACACAUUUUAAUGAUGUGUGCACACGUGAAGGUGUACGUAAAGUGGCACACGCGCGGGCCGAUUCGAUUGAUGCCCGGGAAUUUAACGGGAAGAGAGAAACAACCGAAAUCUGUUACGUAAAACGGUCCUCCCAGCACGAAUCCUCUCUCCCGAUUGCCUUCUAGAUAACUAUACAUAUACAGUACACACAUAUAUAUAUACACAUCUAUAUGUAUAUACAUACACGUACAUCUUUUUCCGUUUUGUACGAGAGAACCGCAACUGUGCCUUUACGGCGCCAUAAAUUCUGCUCUUUUUUUCCCCCAUUCGGCAGGAUGACAUCGGAUCGCCUCUAUCCACACUACUCUGUAAUGUUAAUGUACCCGCAAGCGUCAGCGCGCGCUGUUUCCCGACUUCUAUGCCUUGUAAGAAUGUCGAGUCAAUUUUUUACACCUGCACGAUUUUUCUGAGAACGUUGAUAUUCGAUAAAAAGCUCGACAUAAUCAAAAUUUGAGAGAUCUCACUAUUCGUUCAAUAUUAAUAUCAAUGGUAAAUCUAGAAUUCUCUAAAAAAUGUUGCUUUUAUUUGUAAAGCGAGAAUUAUUUUCACAGUGUUUGGAAAUGCAGAGCUUUCGGUAUUACAUUCGGUAUUACAUCGAAAGCGCGAGCAUUAGGGGGUUGACCGGCGUUUGGACAAACGGUGUUAGGCUAACGAGGCAUCUAUAGCGAAAUAAACGAUUCAUAUAUUUUUACGGAGCCAUGUAACACAAAUUACAACCGAUAUGUCGUUUCCUAAUUUGCACGAGAUUAUUCUGAAAAACAAUUUUAGUCGACAGAGUCAACGGUCAGCUUCAUUUUAAGGAACAAGUUAGUUUGAACACAUCUCGAUUGUUCUAAUUACUGUUGUAAUUACUGACUUGACACUGCUUCAAAUGAAGUAUUAAUAAAAAGGCGCGCGCACGCGUUUUUCGCAAAAACGACUGACUCCAACUGCGAAGACCUUACAAGAAUUUUAGAAUAUCCUUCUAUCGUGUACAAAAUACAAAAAUAACUAAAACAGGAAA
Long non-coding RNA from Megalopta genalis, 3442 nucleotides. RefSeq lists it as uncharacterized. The record is from RefSeq and is a predicted model, not a curated record. NCBI's taxonomy places the organism in Eukaryota, Metazoa, Arthropoda, Insecta, Hymenoptera, Halictidae.